GAUGAACGCUGGCGGCGUGCCUAAUACAUGCAAGUCGAGCGAACAGAUGAGGAGCUUGCUCCUCUGACGUUAGCGGCGGACGGGUUAGUAACACGUGGAUAACCUACCUAUAAGACUGGGAUAACUUCGGGAAACCGUAGCUAAUACCGGAUAAUAUAUUGAACCGCAUGGUUCAAUAGUGAAAGACGGUUUUGCUGUCACUUAUAGAUGGAUCCGCGCCGCAUUAGCUAGUUGGUAAGGUAACGGCUUACCAAGGCAACGAUGCGUAGCCGACCUGAGAGGGUGAUCGGCCACACUGGAACUGAGACACGGUCCAGACUCCUACGGGAGGCAGCAGUAGGGAAUCUUCCGCAAUGGGCGAAAGCCUGACGGAGCAACGCCGCGUGAGUGAUGAAGGUCUUCGGAUCGUAAAACUCUGUUAUUAGGGAAGAACAAAUGUGUAAGUAACUAUGCACGUCUUGACGGUACCUAAUCAGAAAGCCACGGCUAACUACGUG
Molecule: ribosomal RNA, 497 nt
Filed under: uncultured bacterium
Lineage: Bacteria
Description: partial 16S ribosomal RNA
Rfam family: Bacterial small subunit ribosomal RNA
Source: RNAcentral